CGGAGGAAAGAGUAAACAAAAUAAGCUUACAAAACGCUAAAGUGGCUAAAGUUUCGGACUUAUUAAAAGCCUCAGAUUUAGAGCCGAGUUUUAACAAUUUUUUUUCAAAUAAAAUUAUAUUGGACGAGGACACCUACAAUGAUGCCGUUGGAGAAAUUAUUGAGAGAGAUUUUUUUCCUCACCAUAGAAAAAUGCGAUAUCAAAAGGAAUAUAUACAAGCUCAAAAAAUGGGAGAUAGCCAGAAAAUGCAAGAGCUGAUAGCUCAAUUUCAAUCAGGCUAUGAAGGAAAC
This is a long non-coding RNA of Zophobas morio, 290 nucleotides long. RefSeq lists it as uncharacterized. NCBI's taxonomy places the organism in Eukaryota, Metazoa, Arthropoda, Insecta, Coleoptera, Tenebrionidae. The record is from RefSeq and is a predicted model, not a curated record. The transcript has 4 exons.